RNAcentral lists this long non-coding RNA (1156 nucleotides) under Arachis ipaensis. RNAcentral describes it as "long non-coding RNA (AIPA_LNC002374)". Lineage: Eukaryota; Viridiplantae; Streptophyta; Magnoliopsida; Fabales; Fabaceae. The record is from RNAcentral.
CAAGAUAUUAAAAUUUUAAAUUUAAAACAAAUGAGAAAAAAUUGGUGAAGGAACUAGUUUGGUGCACGACAUUUAAUUUCAGGGACUAAAAUGAGUCACUUAAUGUAAAGUGAGGGACUCAUUUGGUGUAUAUACAACGAUGACAUAAUGGAUGACAUGUGGACGAAUACUGUUGCGACACGUGGCACAAACGGACACGUGGCCAAAUAACUUUGUGACACAUGGCACAACCAUCCACGUCAGCAUACCACGUGUCACUAGUCACCACAUCAUCAUACCAUUACACAUGGCCAGAUCAUGAAGUGACAUGUGUCACUUACAGUCCACGUCAUCAUGCCAUGUCAUCACGUCGUUAAUGGAAAAUAGGUCAGGGAUUAAUAUGGUGCAUUUUUUCAAUCUCAGGGACGUAAUUGGUACAAUUAGAAUCUCAGAGACGAUUUUAGUGCACGACGCCAAUCUGAGAGACCAUUUUGAGGUUUAACUCGAUGAAUAACAGGUGCUUUCGUAAUUUGAUCCACUCAAGUUUACUCCCGAAAUGAAGCAAAAUAAUAACCCUAUAAGACCCCAGAAAAAAAGAAAAAUGUUAACAAGAUAUGCAUGUUAGUAGAUGAAUAAAAGACAAUCAUUGAAGUGAGAUUAAUUAACAAAGAAUAUUCCAAUACAACGAAAAUAUGAUCUUAAUUAACAAGGAAUCAGAUAGAAAUAAUCGCUAAGACAUGAUUGGGCUCACCUGGGACCAAUUAAUGCUAAGAUCCAUCAAGUAGAGUGGAAGAGUUCAUGCUUACAUGAUCUAAUAUCUUUUUGGUGUUGUAUAAGUGGUUUGUUUUUUAGGAUCAUUUCAGAUCUGUUUUCACAAUUUAUUUGUUAUGGAUGGAUCUAAAAAUAAUGUCGUUGGUAGAUGUAGGAUGAGUCAUGGUUCAUGAGUGGUUGGUGUUGGUGAGUAUAAUUUAAAUUCAGACCUUCCGUUUUUGAAAAACUAACUUUUGAUAUAUUAAAAUAGUAAAGUUAUCCACCACUCAACGUAAACAUGGAAGCUUGAACUUUUUCCUCUUUAAAAACAAGCCUAUUAAAGAAGAACACUAAAAACAAGUUUCACAAAGAAGAACACUAAAAAAAAGUUCUACAACUCACUUGAUGAUAAAUAAUUAACGUUUAC